GACGAACCGAGCGAACGUUGUUCGGAAUCACUGGGCUUAAAGGGCGCGUAGGCGGGCUGUCAAGUCUGGGGUGAAAUCCCGCGGCUCAACCGUGGAACUGCCUUAGAUACUGACGGCCUCGAGGGAGAUAGGGGCGAGCGGAACUGCGAGUGUAGAGGUGAAAUUCGUAGAUAUUCGCAAGAACACCAGUGGCGAAGGCGGCUCACUGGCCCGGUACUGACGCUGAGGCACGAAAGCGUGGGGAGCAAACAGG
This 253-nucleotide ribosomal RNA is filed under the name uncultured bacterium. Its description in RNAcentral is "partial 16S ribosomal RNA". It matches the Rfam family "Bacterial small subunit ribosomal RNA", at positions 524 to 776 of the family's 1533-position model. The record is from RNAcentral.